GCGAAACCGGGGUCAGGAGCCGCGGGAAUAAGGGGGUGGGUAGUGGUAAUCGGGUUUAUGGGGCUGAAAGCGUGCGGAGGCGGAUGUAUAAGUCAGGUGUGAAAUCCCAAAGCUUAACCGUGGAACUGGAUUUGAAACGUGUAGACUAGAGGAAAGUAGAAGGGGGUAGAAUAACAAGUGUAGCGGUGAAAUGCGUAGAUAGUAGGAAGAACACCAAUUGCGAAGGCAAGUUACUGAACUUUAACUGACGCUGAAGGACGAAAGCAUGGGGAGCAAACAGGAUUAGAUACCCGUGUAGUC
RNAcentral lists this ribosomal RNA (300 nucleotides) under uncultured Methanosaeta sp. RNAcentral's name for it is "bacterial SSU rRNA". It matches the Rfam family "Bacterial small subunit ribosomal RNA", at positions 496 to 795 of the family's 1533-position model. The record is from RNAcentral. Lineage: Archaea; Methanobacteriati; Methanobacteriota; Methanomicrobia; Methanotrichales; Methanotrichaceae.